CAGAAAGCAUUUUACCUGUGCUUCAGAGGGACUAUUUAACAAAGACAUUUGCCAUUUUCCACUCCUUCUUUAGCCUCCCUAGGAGAUGCCCGGUGGCUGACACCCAGAGGAAGCACAGCCUCCCCUCUGAAGCUUCCUCUACUGCAGUCUCUGUGCUCAUCGCAAGGAUCUCUCCAUAUUGACUUAUAUUUGUUUCUGGUCUUAUAUUUUUCUCUAUGGACAGACUUCUAUUUUCAGAAGAUAGAUAUUUAAGUCACAAUAUUCUGGACUCUGGCUUAGUUAGACCAACCGUCUCUUGAUCGUCUGUGGAAACUGAAUCAGGAACACCCCAGAGAGCUGGCUCUGGAUGUAAUUCACAGCUUCAUUUAAUUAUUAUCAUCAAAGUUAAUGAAGGCCAUAAACUGUUUCAUAACAUACCAAUGGGAAGUGUGAUUGGAGGGAAAGCUGGACACCUCACCAUAAAACUGGCACAGCAGAAACGGCUCGACUUAACAAAACCUUCUUAUGAAGAAAAAGACAAUGAAACCAUGUUCAGUUUAGUGAACCUUUCACACUUGGCAACAUGAAUGUUAAGUCAAAAGAACAAUGGAGCUAUGAGUUUUUUUAAUCAAAUUUUUAUUUUGGGUCAAAUAAGCCAUUUUGUUUGUUUGUUAUUAAGUGUAAAGAGAGCUUUCGGUUAGCUAUUU
Molecule: long non-coding RNA, 686 nt
Filed under: Homo sapiens (human)
Lineage: Eukaryota; Metazoa; Chordata; Mammalia; Primates; Hominidae
Description: non-protein coding LINC02251:8
Source: RNAcentral